GAGUUUGAUUAUGGCUCAGGACAAACGCUGGCGGCGUGCUUAACACAUGCAAGUCGAACGAUGAAACGGAACGGAAGUUUUCGGAUGGAAGUUCUGUGGAUUAGUGGCGGACGGGUGAGUAAUGCAUGAAGAACCUGCCUUUCACAUAGGAAUAGCCUCGGGAAACCGGGAUUAAUACCAAAUGACACUCCGAGAUCGCAUGUUUUUGGGGUUAAAGAUUUUAUCGGUGAAAGAUGGCUUCAUGUCCCAUUAGCUGGUUGGUGAGGUAACGGCUCACCAAGGCGACGAUGGGUAGCCGGCCUGAGAGGGUGAACGGCCACAUUGGAACUGAGACACGGUCCAAACUCCUACGGGAGGCAGCAGUGGGGAAUAUUGCACAAUGGAGGGAACUCUGAUGCAGCGACGCCGCGUGAGCGAUGAAGGUCUUCGGAUCGUAAAGCUCUGUCCUAAGGGACGAUAAUGACCGUACCUGGGNNUCG
This 479-nucleotide ribosomal RNA is filed under the name Tissierella sp. canine oral taxon 029. RNAcentral describes it as "bacterial SSU rRNA". It matches the Rfam family "Bacterial small subunit ribosomal RNA", at positions 9 to 488 of the family's 1533-position model. Lineage: Bacteria; Bacillati; Bacillota; Tissierellia; Tissierellales; Tissierellaceae. The record is from RNAcentral.